GAAAUGCGAUAAGUAAUGUGAAUUGCAGAAUUCAGUGAAUCAUCGAAUCUUUGAACGCACCUUGCGCUCCUUGGUAUUCCGAGGAGCAUGCCUGUUUGAGUGUCAUGGAAUUCUCAACUCUAUUUGCUUUUGUGAAUAGAGCUUGGAUUUGGAGGUUUAUUGCUGGUACUUGUGAUCGGCUCCUCUUGAAUGCAUUAGCUCGAACCUUUGCGGAUCAGCUAUCGGUGUGAUAAUUGUCUACGCCGUUGCAGUGAAGC
Molecule: unclassified non-coding RNA, 257 nt
Filed under: plant metagenome
Description: partial contains 5.8S ribosomal RNA and internal transcribed spacer 2
Rfam family: 5.8S ribosomal RNA (bases 1-105)
Source: RNAcentral